RNAcentral lists this long non-coding RNA (878 nucleotides) under Equus asinus (donkey). RNAcentral's name for it is "lncRNA (ENSEASG00005024826.1, ENSEASG00020018904.1)". Lineage: Eukaryota; Metazoa; Chordata; Mammalia; Perissodactyla; Equidae. The record is from RNAcentral.
UUUGUUUUUUUGCUGUAAGAAUAGUGAGGCCUGCAAAUGAUGAGGUGCCUGGACCCACAAAGCGCCUUAAAGACUGGAGCAGAAAGCGCGUAAUUCCUAAAUGGCUUCCAGACCGGCUUCCCCUCUGCCGCCGUCCUCCUUUCCUGCUGGUUAUUAUUGCUUUGGACACCCUCCAGGGGCUGGGGGGACGAGAGGCUCCUCUUCCCCAGGCCCUUUUUAAAAGAGCAGUUGUGUUUCGUGCUUUUGGCAGAGAUUGGGUUUCAUAGGUGUCUGUAGGGGAGCCCUCCACAGCUCCUUGGUUCCGUCUGACUCAGGGCAGCCCCUUCAGCAGCAGGUAGGCCAGGCUCCUGCUGGGUUUGCCUUUAGCCUGCCUGCCACGGAUGGUGCCAGUGACAGCCGGGGGCCUCAUUCUGCCUUGAUUUCCGCCAAUUUUACACCAAUCCUGCCAGUGUGGAUGGAUGGGGGAGGAGCUGUGUUUGGUCAUCCCCAGGCCAUUCCAGCAAUCAGCUGGGGGGACACGCAGUUAGGACCUCCCCGUGACCUUUGCCGUCUGCCAGUCAUUGUGGGACAAGCAGCCCAGCCACGUGAAAACAACCUGGGUGAGAGGCUUGCGGAGGCUGUAACCUAUUUCCCUGCCUCUCCCAGGCCUUCCGUUCAUCCUACACACCCCUCCAGACUUCAUUUUCCUAAAACAGAUCUCAUCCCCUCCCUCCUGAAAACCCUCGCUCACUACCUUUCUGGUCCAACUUUACGUUUUACUGUUUGCCUUCGCCUCACUACCUAGUGGUUCCCACGGGGUGGGGAGUGUUGUUUGAAAAUGCAAGGAAAGGGACAGUGGCUACCGGCAGGAGGGCAGGGGAGGGGAGUGGCAGGGAUGC